This is a long non-coding RNA of Scomber japonicus (chub mackerel), 194 nucleotides long. RefSeq lists it as uncharacterized. NCBI's taxonomy places the organism in Eukaryota, Metazoa, Chordata, Actinopteri, Scombriformes, Scombridae. The record is from RefSeq and is a predicted model, not a curated record. The transcript has 3 exons.
GGAAAACAACACUACUCUGGGUCUGACGAGGACUCUGGAUGAGCUCUCUCUGAACCUCAGCUCCACCAGCAACUCCUCUCAGUCUGGGGUGGUUCAGCCCAACCUGGUGGUCCAGUCGGCUCGGUUACCUGCGGAGAACACUCAGGGAGUCCAGUUCACGUCGCUCAGAGGACUAUCUGGAAGUUUCGUUGCCA